Bubalus bubalis (water buffalo) is the source of this 447-nucleotide long non-coding RNA. RefSeq lists it as uncharacterized. The record is from RefSeq and is a predicted model, not a curated record. The transcript has 4 exons. NCBI's taxonomy places the organism in Eukaryota, Metazoa, Chordata, Mammalia, Artiodactyla, Bovidae.
CUUGAAUUUCUUUUCUGUUAAGUAGAGAGAAUAGUGCCUGCUUCGAAGAAGGCUAAAGCGGGUCAAAUGAGAUGAUAGAUUAUUGUAAACAGUGAAGUCAUUUAUGGUGGCUGCGGGGAGUUUGGAGGCUGGGGGAAGACAUGAGGAACCCUCACCUAAAUGGAGCCAGGCGACCACGGCACCAGGAAGAGAGAGCCGCUGCAGUUAUUCCUUAGGUCCUGGCAUUGCACACACAGCCUGACUAGCCUGCAGUCCCAUAAGGACUCACAGACACCUAUGGAGCACCUACUCUCAGCCAUUGUCUCCGCAAACACAGAGCCUUCAGGAGGAAGCAAUACAAAGGGCCUGUCUUCAGGAAGCUUGCAUUCUGGUGUGGCAGACCAACAACAAAUAAAUACUUCAAAAUGUGUCAGUACAUGUCAUAUACUAUUUAGGUGGAUAAGGUAG